GACGAACGCUGGCGGCGUGCCUAACACAUGCAAGUCGAGCGGGGUUGAAGCGAGGGGUAACUCAAGCUUCUACCUAGCGGCGGACGGGUGAGUAACGCGUGGGCAACCUGCCUCAAGGUCUGGGAUAACAGCUCGAAAGGGCUGCUAAUACCGGAUAUGCCUAUGGCCUCGCAUGGGGCUAUGAGCAAAGGGGAAACCUGCCUUGAGAUGGGCCCGCGUCCCAUCAGCUAGUUGGUGAGGUAACAGCUCACCAAGGCGACGACGGGUAGCCGGCCUGAGAGGGUGACCGGCCACACUGGGACUGAGACACGGCCCAGACUCCUACGGGGGGCAGCAGUGGGGGAUCUUGCACAAUGGGCGAAAGCCUGAUGCAGCGACGCCGCGUGAGCGAAGAAGGCCUUCGGGUUGUAAAGCUCUGUCUGGAGGGACGAAGGAAGUGACGGUACCUCCGGAGGAAGCCACGGCUAACUACGUG
This 475-nucleotide ribosomal RNA is filed under the name uncultured bacterium. Its description in RNAcentral is "bacterial SSU rRNA". It matches the Rfam family "Bacterial small subunit ribosomal RNA", at positions 28 to 507 of the family's 1533-position model. The record is from RNAcentral.